AUGUGGAGCGAUGAGCUGCUAGUUUUUGUAUAUAGCGCUACUUUUCAUGCUAUCUUAGCUAAAGUUGUUCAUAGGGCCUCGGGUAUUGAGUUUGGGUUAUUUUGCAUCUAUGGUGAUCCAUACCACCGCCAAACGAAGCCUAUCUGGGAUCAGAUUGCCAAUUUUGUGUAUGGUAAUAUAGGUAAGCCUAUGAUAUGUAUGGGGGAUCUUAAUGACAUCUUGUAUGAUAUUGACAAGUGCAAUUCUAAGGUUAAUUACCAUCGUAUGUCUGCCUUU
RNAcentral lists this ribosomal RNA (276 nucleotides) under Triticum aestivum (bread wheat). RNAcentral describes it as "partial small subunit ribosomal RNA". The record is from RNAcentral. Lineage: Eukaryota; Viridiplantae; Streptophyta; Magnoliopsida; Poales; Poaceae.